AUGGAAAUGGACAUCUAAGAAGGAACUAGUGAUGUAAAAAAUCCACAGUAAUAUGGAAGUUCUUUAGAGAGUUAAGACUGGAAAUAUUUGCACUCUCAAAGAAGCUUGUUAAUGCAGAUGAACCUCUAAUUCUUUUCGUUGCUUCAUUUACAUUUAUAGAGGUAUACAUAUUCCCUCUUCUAACAGGGGUUAGUAACUUGGGGAGGGAGUGCUACAGAUUCAGGUCCUAAUUCAGUGGCAGGUCCAUCUUAUCUCCUCUUCAGGUUAUAUUCUCAAGCAGGAGCUACAGGAUGAGACGAGUAAAACAGUUCACUUCCUUUGCUUACCCGCAGCCCCAUAAUAGGCUUCUGCUGGGCUUCCUUGGUUGUUUUCACCAUCACUUUCACCACCAGAGGUCAGGGAACCUUCCGGUUAAUCAGGGGUCCUGGAAAUGAUGCAGAAAAGUACUGACUUAAAAAUAAUAAAUAACAUUUAUUUAGGGCUCACUGUGAACUCAUUGCUUAAAAUGUCCUACUUAAUCUUCACAACCACUCUAUAAAAUUGGUAUUGAUAAAUCUCAGGUAUAUCCAAUAUAAGUCUCUAUGUAGGGUUGUGAUAUUUUUAGCUCUUUUAUGUCUUUAGGUUCAUCUCGGCACCAGACAUAAGGCGGUUCAACAUAAUACGCCUGCCCUAAACAGCUCCAGAUGCCAAGAAUUGGCAAAUUACUACUUUGAUUUCCAUGGGUGGUCAAAAAGUAUCAUCAAGGAUUCCAGGAAAAAGGCAUGGGCUGCGGCUACAAUGGGCGGGGCCCCCAGGCCGGGCCGCCCCUCCAGGACCCCCGACGGGGCCCUGCGCUCCUGGCGGCUCCCUCCCCCGGCGCCCCCUCCCUCCCGGAAGGCCUCGGGUCAGAGCGGUCCCACCCCCUACGCCCAGAACGGAGCCCGCGUUUUCGCAGAGCUGGAAGUGCCGCAGCUCGGGGUCUCUUCCCUCCGCCGUCACGGAACUCCCCGGAGGCCGAGGGGAGGGCGGCCUCACUGAGGCUGCCGGUUCUGGACGGGCCCCGGCGGCCGAAGCUGGGAGAGUCGUGCGGACCGCGGGCCGGGUAAGUGGGCGCCGGCCCUCCGCCUGGUCCGCUGCCCGGGCGGCAGCGCAAGACCAGCUUCUGAGGGGUAGGGGUUCGCUGCCACCCGCCACUGCUGUGCAGAAAGAGCGGCCCCCAGCGUCUGGUCCGGGGAACUUCCGUCCCUCUUCUCCCCCCUGCCCUCGGCCUGGCUCGCGGGGCCUGUGGGGCGUGUGGAGGGGGUCGGCCUGAGCGUUCGGAGGGGAAACGGGGCAAGGGACGAGCAGGGUCCGGCUGCAGCGUCAGCGCCCCUCCUCCCGACUGCAGGGAAAGCGAAUGAAAACUGCCCCCGAGGCUCGCAGGCCCCUUAUUCAGCCGAGACCCUCUGAGCUCCUUCCUUCCAGAGCUAAAGUAUGGGGGGAGGGGACAGGGCAGGGCCCUGGCGCAGGUAAUGGGGAACAUUAAAAGGUGAUUGUUAACUAAGGAAAACCAGCUCUCCCAACGUGAGGAAUGUAGCGCUUUUCUUUGUAUAAGAAGAUGCCAGAGUCUGGGCUCCCUGAAAUCCUUCCUUUCAUAUGCACCUCAGCUCUCUGGGGCCUGCAUUCUGUAUUUGCAUAUCCUGAGUUUCUCAGGGCCCGCGGCUCACACUGGAGGGCUGCAAGUGCUGAUGACUGUGACACCCUUUGUUUACUGAGAUGGCAAGAAAUAUUCCAUUUCUCACAGGCUUGAGGGGCAGACAGUGAAGAGUCAGAGAAUCUCAUUCAGCAUGUAGUUUGGUUUACAUAUAGAUAAUAUUUAUACGUAACUAUGCUAAUAGAGGUUCUCAAGUCCAAUCAACUUGUACUACUGCCCUCUAUGUAUUCAUUUCAUCAAUGUUCAUAAGAUAAAUGCCUAUAGAUUUGACUUAAUCCAUUUAAAUAGGAUAAUGAUUUUUAAAGGAAACAUAACAGAAAUAUAACAACAAAACCUUUUCCACUAAAGGCUGGGUCUGCAACAACCUACAUAAAUGUUCCAUUGUUAAAAUAUUGAAAGGUGUAUUCAAUAGAAAUAUCAACAAAAAUGACAAAUAAUAAGGUCAGCAGAAUGUUGAAAUGUUCUAUUUUUAUCAUUAAAGUGGCAGAAAAUCAUUUAUUAGUAGGCACUGGGGGCAGAAGAUGCCUGAUUUUAUAUCUUUGUCAUAUUUGUACAGUUGUUUCAACAAGUUACUUACAGACAAAAUGGAAAAACAAGGAGGUUUGUGCCUGAGAUCACGUUGAUGUGAAACCGGGGAUGGCCACCUUGUGCCAGGUGACUUAAGUUUACCUGGCAGGUAGACCUCAGAGCUCCUGAGAAGCAAGGGUUGGAAUUUUUCUGCUGGGUGCCCCUUAGGUUCUGUGACUUGACUGAUUGUGAGUCAUGUUUCGGUAAAAACCUGGUCACAGGAAAAGGGUGGGAAUAGAGUGAUUUGGGGAGCAGCUAACAACAUUCAUCACGGCUCAUGGCCUGAAUGAAUUUUAAAGAAACAGGAAAACAAAUGCUUCUUAUGGAAUCAGAGAAUGUGAAGGCUGGACAAUCCCACAAAAUGAGGAACACCCGUCCCAUUUUCCAGAUGAGAAAACAGAGGCCCAGCAAGGUGAAAUCCCUCACCCAAGUUGCACCCGUCUCUCCUCCCCACUACGUGGUCCAUGAAAGCAGGACUCUUCCUGUCAUGAUCACUGCUGAACCCCAAAAAGGGCCAGGCAUCUAGCAGCUGCUCCAAAAAUUUUGGUUGACUGUAGGAACAAUGCUAUUUCUUUCUUUCUCACUCUUAUUCAGGAUUGUGCCAAGAACUCCCCAGUCUUCAAUGUAAUUCGAUAAAUGUAAAUAUUAAUUGAGUUUUGUUGUGAUGAGGACUUAGGCUUUGAAGGUAACAGACUUGGUUCAGAUCCUGGUUCUGCCACUCAAUAGCUAUUUGACUUUGGGAAAAUUACUAAAGCUCUCUGAGCUUAUUUCCUCCUUUGUAAAGUGGGGAUAAAUGUAUCUGAGCCAGCAGAGCACUUGCAUGAGAGAUGUGCACUAAAUAUUGGUCUUUCUCACUCUCCCAUGCCAUCACUCUGUUCUUCCCAGAGAAGUUGUACAGAAGGAUAUAGUACUUUAAAAAAAUUAAUUAAUUAAUUAAUUUUUGGCUGCGUUGGGUCUUCUUUGCUAUGCACGGGCAUCUCUAGUUGUGGCUAGCGGGGGCUACUCUUUGUUGUGGUGCGCGGGCUUCUCAUUGCGGUGGCUUCUCUUGCUGCGCUUGCUGUGGAGCACCAGCUCUAGGCAUGGGAGCUUCAAUAGUUGUGGGCUGCAGCCUCAGUAGUUGUGGCGCAUGGGCAUAGCUGCUCCGCGGCAUGUCGGAACUUCCCUGACCAGGGCUCGAACCCAUGUCUCUUGCGUUGGUAGGCAGAUUCUUAACCAUUGUGCCACCAGGGAAGUCCGAUAUAGUACUUUAUAAAGAGGGGUUUUAAUUUAUGUCAGAUAGUGUACAUGUUUCUUGUAGAAAAGAUUAUUCCACUAUAGAAACAUUAACACGCGAUACCAGUACAAAUGCAGUAUUCUAUGGGCUAGAUCUUAUCAGUAAAUUUUAUAAGUAUUUGGGCAAAGGCCAAAGCACUAGGUAAUGGGGAGUAAGAAGACUCAAAUCUUGGGUGCCCCCCCACGCCAAUUUCAAGAGCAGGGUGUGUUUUUCAAAUCCAUAUUUCAUCUGGUCUUUGUUUCUCAUCCAUCCUCUGUGUCUGCCUUUCUCAAGAAGGCUCACAUCCUCUGCUUCCACACCCUCCCGGCUGGCUGUGCCCCAGCUCCCGUCCUGGACCCUCUGCAUGCAUGAGUGUGCCUGCUCUCCCUGUGCAUCACCAGCUUUGCCAGGGAGCUGCUGUAUCGUGCACUGCUUGCUGUACCCCAGAGUACCUAGACCCUUCUGGUACAUGAAGUACACUCUCAUCACCAUGAGUGCACGCCCAUCCCCUUACCUUAUAUCUUGCCUCUAAGCCAGGCUUGGGGGUGACUACAGUGUGCGUUCAGCUCGGUGAGCUGCUGGGAUCAAAGUGAAGUUCCCAACUUUUGAAGUUGCAGGCUUGAGGGGCACAGAGUGAUUUAAAGUCGGGUCACUUGACUUAAAGCGGGGGCUGAUUGAUUUAAAGCCAGGGCAGCUGACUUAAACUCCGAUUCUCUCAGCUGCAGGACAAGACCAACUUUGGCGGUGCACGGGUUCGCUCCAAGCCAGCACUGCUGUUCAGGAAGAGUUUCCAGUAGCGCCUUAGUGCAGGGAGACUUGGUGUGUUGUCUUACCGCUGCCCUCAGAGGGGUGCCACCUGCUCUUCUGGAGAAGAAUCAGGGAGGGGGAAGUGCAGAGUCCCGGCUGGAGUUGCGGCACCCCUUGUCUGAUGGCAGGGAAGGUGGGGCGGGGUUGUGUGGCGUCCUGGGGCUGGACUCACCAGGUCGACUCAGCCUCUCAGCCUCCUAACCUACCCACACACACCCCACAAGAGUUUCCAAUAAUAUGUAAUUGCGCCUUAGGUUCUCGGUCUUCAAACUCAUACCCAGGCUCCCAGGUCCCUUGAUUCAGCCAAUUCCUCUGUGCUCUUUCUUCUAUUAGGGACAGUCCCAGCGGGAGGGGCUGGGGGAUGGGACUGGAGGGACCCCGGCAGCACUUGGCUCAGCUGACUGAAUAGAUCUGUGGCCUGUGCUCUCACACAUGUGUGAGGACCCUCAAGGCGGAAUCGAG
This is a long non-coding RNA of Delphinapterus leucas (beluga whale), 4760 nucleotides long. NCBI's taxonomy places the organism in Eukaryota, Metazoa, Chordata, Mammalia, Artiodactyla, Monodontidae. The record is from Ensembl.